GACCAGACUCCUACGGGAGGCAGCAGUGGGGAAUAUUGCACAAUGGGGGAAACCCUGAUGCAGCGACGCCGCGUGAGUGAAGAAGUAUUUCGGUAUGUAAAGCUCUAUCAGCAGGGAAGAAAAUGACGGUACCUGACUAAGAAGCCCCGGCUAACUACGUGCCAGCAGCCGCGGUAAUACGUAGGGGGCAAGCGUUAUCCGGAUUUACUGGGUGUAAAGGGAGUGUAGGUGGCAUAACAAGUCAGAAGUGGAAGCCCGGGGCUCAACCGCGGGACUGCUUUUGAAACUGUUAAGCUUGAGUGCAGGAGAGGUAAGCGGAAUUCCUAGUGUAGCGGUGAAAUGCGUAGAUAUUAGGAGGAACACCAGUGGCGAAGGCGACUUUCUGGACUGUACCUGACGCUGAGGCGCGAAAGCGUGGGUAGCGAACGGGAUUAGAUACCCCCGUAC
RNAcentral lists this ribosomal RNA (447 nucleotides) under uncultured bacterium. RNAcentral's name for it is "bacterial SSU rRNA". It matches the Rfam family "Bacterial small subunit ribosomal RNA", at positions 329 to 793 of the family's 1533-position model. The record is from RNAcentral.